RNAcentral lists this small RNA (1706 nucleotides) under Pan troglodytes (chimpanzee). RNAcentral's name for it is "processed transcript". Lineage: Eukaryota; Metazoa; Chordata; Mammalia; Primates; Hominidae. The record is from RNAcentral.
GGCUGGGGGCGGAAGGAGGAGCCAGGCGAAGCGGCGCCUCCGCUGAGAGGCCCGGCGGACCCUGCAGAGGCCCCCUGCCCCUCUGGCUCCGCCCCCACCCGGGUCGCUAGAAAUACAGCCGCAGCCCCGCCCACCGCCCACUGCGCUCUGACCCAGACCCGGCUGACCCACCUACCCGCGAUCCUGCCCAUGGCUGACGGACUCUUUCGGCGCAGACCCUGGGGUCUCGAGCAGAUUCGCCCGGACCCCGAGUCCGAAGGCCUGUUUGACAAGCCUCCCCCGGAAGACCCUCCCGCUGCCCGCGGGCCCAGGUCGGCGUCGGCCGCGGGCAAGAAGGCUGGUCGGCGCGCGGGCGGGAGGGCGCAGGGGGGCCGCGCCGGGCAGCCCCCGAAGGCCGCAUCGCGCCCCCCGCCCAAGAAGGAGGCGCCGCCACUGGACGAGGGCUGCUAUCUCGACCAUUUUCCGCACCUCUCCAUCUUCAUCUACGCAGCCAUCGCCUUCUCCAUCACCUCCUGCAUCUUUACCUAUAUCCAUUUACAGCUUGCCUGAGUGGCCAGCGCGGGACGGGGUGGGCGCAGGACCGAGCGGGGAGGGAAAGGGAAAACAGGGCUCGGCAUUUUGUGUUUUAGAACAGCGCUGCACCCCCUUCAUGUAGCUUUCGAUGCUUGUUUCUUUCCGUCUUUGUUGUCACUAUCUUUGUCUAUCAGUACGAAAGUACAAAGUAGCUGCCGGCAAUGAAAUAAGGGUGCUGUUUGCACCUGCAGGUUAGGGGUGGAGGCGUUUAGAAUUCUGGGGUGUGAUUGAGCCCCGUUUAUAAUUAGAAUGUCCCUGGACCCCUACCACUCUGUGACGUGGGGGCACGCGCAGGGAUCCCAUCAUUUUGUGUUUGGGGAGCUCAGAGUGCGCCCAAUCUUGGAAUCUUUAAGGGAUGAGCCAGACCCAGACCCGCGGCCUUCUAGAGAGGGUCCGGCAGGGAGGGUCGGCGCCCUGGCCCGGGGUGGGCCGGAGCCCUGUGAUGCUGCAUCGCCCCCAGGAGGAGCCAGCUGUGCCCCAGAGUUGGCGCGGCCGAGAGAGGACAAGAGCGCGCAACAGGCGAAGCUGGAGGGCGGGACUCGGUAAGUGGCGUUCGUCGGGGUGUCGUGCUGCGCCCCCAGGGGCUCUGGCUGACCACGAGUGUGCUUUUUUCCUGCCUUAGACUUUGUUGUCGCUGCCCGGAGGAGUCGAGACUGGUACCCGGAGGAGGUGUCUCACCAGGAGACCACGCCCUGGAAGUGUCCGGGACUCGCGGGACCUGUGGCUGCAGACCCCGCGGGCACGCAGGCCCGGAGCUGGCGCACUCCUCAGGAUGAGACUCUGGGGGCCCUAGCCGGGGUCCACGGGAGGGCUGUCCUUGGGGACUCUAGGAUGGCUUCGUUCUGGCCCGGCGCACUUUUGGAGCUGUGAGACCCAAGACAAAAGGGGCUGAGGGAUUUCUCAUUGACAAGAGUUCGUGCGGGAAAACCACCUGACCCCUAGGGAUUUGUCAUCUUAGACUCAAAAGGCUUAAUACCAGAAACCACCUUGGCAAGAUAUUUACCCACCGGCCAUCUCUGUUUACUCAUGAAUGUUAAAUGUCAAAACGCAGCGCUCUAACCCUGCAUAUUAUUUACUUGCAAAUGUCUGUAAUCUGUAAUUGUAAUGCCUCUGAUGGAAUAAAUUAUCUUUUU